UUUGAUGGUCGAGAUGUUCA
This 20-nucleotide non-coding RNA is filed under the name Arabidopsis thaliana (thale cress). Lineage: Eukaryota; Viridiplantae; Streptophyta; Magnoliopsida; Brassicales; Brassicaceae. The record is from RNAcentral.